This 560-nucleotide long non-coding RNA is filed under the name Musa acuminata (dwarf banana). Its description in RNAcentral is "long non-coding RNA (MACU_LNC006998)". The record is from RNAcentral. Lineage: Eukaryota; Viridiplantae; Streptophyta; Magnoliopsida; Zingiberales; Musaceae.
AAGGCAAUGGGAGCCACUGAGAUGGUAAGAGUCCACUGCUUCUUGUGCAUGACCCUCCUCGUUCUACUCUCUACUUCUGCUGCUGCAGGUACUAUGGAUGUGGGUUAUGUCCAGCCAUCUAACACAACCAUGUUCGACGGCGUCGCUGGCGGCACUGGGUGGUUGGAUCCAGAGAUGGCGACGGACCCGCACAUAACCUACCGUGCCGUGGGGAAUGCCGGCCGACCGGCGGCCACGCCUGCCAAGGCUGGGGCGUCUUACACCCGUGGGUGUUCGGGUGCUGCUUAUUGCAGAAAGUGAUCCUUUAAGUCUCUUCGUUUCCAUGGGAGUCUCAUGAUCGAUGUGUCGUCGCAGAACCUACUUUGCUUGUAUGACUUGAUUAUGUUAUCAUUUGGCUUGCUUAUCUUUUUCCUGUGUUUGUUGUUUCACUUCUCUGCGUGGAAAACAUUAACGUUUCGAUUUAUGAAACUUAAUUGUUCUUUUUCGAUUGACUGUAUGUAUCAGAGAACAUUCUUAAUGUCGAUCAUAAACCUGAAUAAAAAAAAUGAAAUAUUGCGUUA